CGCGGCCUAUCAGCUUGUUGGCGGGGUAACGGCCCACCAAGGCAACGACGGGUAGCUGGUUUGAGAGAACGAUCAGCCACACUGGAACUGAGACACGGUCCAGACUUCUACGGAAGGCAGCAGUAGGGAAUCUUGCGCAAUGGGCGAAAGCCUGACGCAGCGACGCCGCGUGCGGGAUGACGGCCCUAGUGGUUGUAAACCGCCUUCAGCAGGGACGAAAAUGACGGUACCUGCAGAAGAAGUCCCGGCUAACUACGUGCCAGCAGCCGCGGUAAUACGUAGGGGACAAGCGUUGUCCGGAUUCAUUGGGCGUAAAGAGCUCGUAGGCGGUUCAGUAAGUUGGGUGUGAAAGCUCCGGGCUCAACCCGGGGAGGCCACUCAAUACUGCUGUGACUAGAGUCCAGUAGAGGAGCGUGGAACUCCUGGUGUAGCGGUGAAAUGCGCAGAUAUCAGGAAGAACACCGGCAGCGAAGGCGGCGCUCUGGGCUGGUACUGACGCUGAGGAGCGAAAGCAUGGGUAGCAAACAGGAUUAGAUACCCUGGUAGUCCAUGCCGUAAACGUUGGGCACUAGGUGUGGGGAGGAAUCAACCCUCUCCGUGCCGUAGCUAACGCAUUAAGUGCCCCGCCUGGGGAGUACGG
RNAcentral lists this ribosomal RNA (640 nucleotides) under uncultured bacterium. RNAcentral describes it as "bacterial SSU rRNA". It matches the Rfam family "Bacterial small subunit ribosomal RNA", at positions 232 to 885 of the family's 1533-position model. The record is from RNAcentral.